AAGAGUUUGAUCCUGGCUCAGGAUGAACGCUAGCUACAGGCUUAACACACGCAAGUCGAGGGGCAGCAUGGUCUUAGCUUGCUAAGGCCGAUGGCGACCGGCGCACGGGUGAGUAACGCGUAUCCAACCUGCCUUACACUCUUGGACAACCUUCUGAAAGGGAGAUUAAUACAAGAUGUUAUCAUGAGUAAGCAUUUUCGCAUGAUUAAAGGUUUACCGGUGUAAGAUGGGGAUGCGUUCCAUUAGAUAGUAGGCGGGGUAACGGCCCACCUAGUCUUCGAUGGAUAGGGGUUCUGAGAGGAAGGUCCCCCACAUUGGAACUGAGACACGGUCCAAACUCCUACGGGAAGCAGCAGUGAGGAAUAUUGGUCAAUGGACGAGAGUCUGAACCAGCCAAGUAGCGUGAAGGAUGAAGGUUCUAUGGAUUGUAAACUUCUUUUAUACGGGAAUAAACGAAUCCACGCGUGGAUUUUUGCAUGUACCGUAUGAAUAAGGAUCGGCUAACUCCGUGCCAGCAGCCGCGGUAAUACGGAGGAUCCGAGCGUUAUCCGGAUUUAUUGGGUUUAAAGGGAGCGUAGAUGGGUUGUUAAGUCAGUUGUGAAAGUUUGCGGCUCAACCGUAAAAUUGCAAUUGAUACUGGCAGUCUUGAGUACAGUUGAGGUAGGCGGAAUUCGUGGUGUAGCGGUGAAAUGCUUAGAUAUCACGAAGAACUCCGAUUGCGAAGGCAGCUUACUAACCUGUAACUGACAUUGAUGCUCGAAAGUGUGGGUAUCAAACAGGAUUAGAUACCCUGGUAGUCCACACGGUAAACGAUGAAUACUCGCUGUAGGCGAUAUACAGUCUGCGGCCAAGCGAAAGCAUUAAGUAUUCCACCUGGGGAGUACGCCGGCAACGGUGAAACUCAAAGGAAUUGACGGGGGCCCGCACAAGCGGAGGAACAUGUGGUUUAAUUCGAUGAUACGCGAGGAACCUUACCCGGGCUUAAAUUGCAACCGAAUAUGGCGGAAACGCUAUAGCUAGCAAUAGCGGUUGUGAAGGUGCUGCAUGGUUGUCGUCAGCUCGUGCCGUGAGGUGUCGGCUUAAGUGCCAUAACGAGCGCAACCCUUGCCGAUAGUUACUAACAGGUUAUGCUGAGGACUCUGUCGGGACUGCCAUCGUAAGAUGUGAGGAAGGUGGGGAUGACGUCAAAUCAGCACGGCCCUUACGUCCGGGGCUACACACGUGUUACAAUGGGGGGUACAGAGGGCUGCUACCACGCAAGUGGAUGCCAAUCCCAAAAACCUCUCUCAGUUCGGAUUGAAGUCUGCAACCCGACUUCAUGAAGCUGGAUUCGCUAGUAAUCGCGCAUCAGCCACGGCGCGGUGAAUACGUUCCCGGGCCUUGUACACACCGCCCGUCAAGCCAUGGGAGCCGGGGGUACCUGAAGUGCGUAACCGCAAGGAGCGCCCUAGGGUAAAACUGGUGACUGGGGCUAAGUCGUAACAAGGUAGCCG
Molecule: ribosomal RNA, 1493 nt
Filed under: uncultured bacterium
Lineage: Bacteria
Description: bacterial SSU rRNA
Rfam family: Bacterial small subunit ribosomal RNA
Source: RNAcentral